UGGCCGUAAACGAUGUGGACUUGGUGUUGGAAUGGCUCCGAGCUGCUCCAGUGCCGAAGGGAAGCUGUUAAGUCCACCGCCUGGGAAGUACGGUCGCAAGACUGAAACUUAAAGGAAUUGGCGGGGGGAGCACCACAACGCGUGGAGCCUGCGGUUUAAUUUGGAUUCAACGCCGGACAUCUCACCAGGGGCGGACAGCAGAAUGAUGGCCAGGUUGAUGACCUUGCUUGACAAGCUGAGAGGAGGUGCAUGGCGUGUGACUGU
This 264-nucleotide ribosomal RNA is filed under the name uncultured archaeon. Its description in RNAcentral is "partial 16S ribosomal RNA". It matches the Rfam family "Archaeal small subunit ribosomal RNA", at positions 748 to 1008 of the family's 1478-position model. The record is from RNAcentral.